AGUGUCAAACCUUCUAGAUUGGUUGCUCCUCAAAGAAGUAUCCAAUGAAGGUGCAUCCGAGCUUGGAUGGCAAUGAUAAAAAUAAACAAGUGAAUAAUGUUAAGGUACAUGGUUACCUCCGGUUAGAAUUUUAGAAUGCAUUAAGAACUUUACUCUUUUUUGUAAUUGAAUAUUGUUCUUUUUGCAACAUAAUUGAAUGAAUGUUUCAUCUAGGACUUAGAACCACAAAUUGUGAGGAAACCUCCAUUGU
Molecule: long non-coding RNA, 250 nt
Filed under: Lathyrus oleraceus (garden pea)
Lineage: Eukaryota; Viridiplantae; Streptophyta; Magnoliopsida; Fabales; Fabaceae
Description: Pisum sativum (pea) long non-coding RNA (PSAT_LNC012565)
Source: RNAcentral